GGGACACAGGACUUUAAUUCUUGGGUUCGCUGGCGUGUUGGCUCCUUUCCACCGGGAGAACAAUGGACUUUGUAGGUUAUGUAUGCUGAUUAUUAUUUCACCCACCGCUACUCCGGUCUUGUUGGCCAAGCAGUUGACCUCAUCUAUGUUUACACAUUUGUUCCAGUUCCUCGGAGAUCACAGGUGACCCUCCAGCCAUGAGGUUCCGUAAUCUGUUGAUCGUUGCCAUUUUGGGUGCCUUUCUAGUCUCUUUAGGUAAGAGGAACAAGCUGAGUCGCUUAUCACAUGGGAUCCCUUCUGAGACUUGAUGGCCAGACCAUGUUUGGUGGGUUCCAUGCCCUUCUCUCUGGAAAAAAUAAUGGGGAGGGGGAUUCCCGGCAGCUCACCCAAAGGGAGACAUCCAUGCAACUCUCAUGCUCCACAUAAUGCUUCCAUGUGGCCUGUUUCUUGAGCAUUCGUCCUGCCUGCUUGUGAGGAGGCCAGGCGACACCAGCUAUUUCAUGAGCGUUUAUCCUUAUUUACUUGCAAGGAGGUUAGAAGCGUCUGCCUCAAAAACCAGUAUUAUCCCCACACUGGUACCUUGGUCCUCAAACUUAACCCGUUCUGGAAGUCCGUUCCAAAAGUAAUGCAAAACAGAUUAAUCCGUUCCAUACUUUUAAAAACAACUCCUAAAACAGCAAUUUAACAUGGAAUUUUACUAUCUAAUGAAACCAUUGAUCCAUAAAACGAAAGCAAUAAACAAUUUGCUGUGGUCACUGAACUGGGUUCCACACAGUCAAAAAAAGCCACAAAAACAAAAACGCAAACUAAAUAGCAAAAACAGAUAGACCUCACUGCAACACUCAAAAUGGAGCAUGUUCGGCUUCCGAAAAACGUUCGCAAACCGGAACACUUACUUCCAGGUUUGCAGUGUUUGGGUUCCAAGGCGUUUGAGAACCAAGGUACCACCCAGCACAUUUUCACUUCACUUUCCUUAUCACAAAAAGCCUGAGCUUUCAGGAGAGUGGGUUUCCCAGUCAUCUAUAACUGCGCAACCUGAAUUUGCCGCUGUGCGACUGAAGCCCACACCAAAACAGUGACAAUGUGAGAGCACCCAGGGACACUGUUCUUAACCUGAAACUGUUCUUAACCUGAGGUACCACUUUAGCUAAUGGGGCCUCCCGCUGCCACCGCACGAUUUCUGUUCUCAUCCUGAAGCAAAGUUCUUAACCCGAGGUACUACUUCCGGGUUAGCGGAGUCUGUAACCUGAAGCGUUUGUAACCUGAGGUACCACUGUAUAAUUAUUUUUUACUAAAUAAAUUUAUUAGUUGCUUUUUUGCCAUGGCAGCUCAAAGCAACUUACAAAAUGACUUACAGAACAACAAAACAUUCAUGCAUUAAAACCGGGGGAGGGGCACAGUAGUAAUACAUCCCACCCAUUCUAUAAGGGCUACGGAGAGUUAAAAGCCAAAGGCAUGGUUAAAAAAGGAGGUUUUUUGCCUGGUUCUGAAGAUACAGUCGUACCUCUGCUUACGUAUCCCUCUGGAUAAGUACAGUGGUGCCUCGCAAGACUAAAUUAAUCCGUUCCGCGAGUCUCUUCGUCUUGCGGUUUUUUCGUCUUGCGAAGCACGGCUAUUAGCAGCUUAGCGGCUAUUAGCGGCUUAGCGGCUUAGUGGCUAUUAACGGCUUAGCGGCUUAGUGGCUAUUAACGGCUUAGCGGCUUUAAGAAAAAGGAAACAAACUCGCAAGAACUUGCAAGACGUUUCGUCUUGCAAAGCAAGCCCAUAGGGAAAUUCGUCUUGCGGAACGACUCAAAAAACGCAAAACCCUUUCGUCUAGCGAGUUUUUCGUCUUGCGAGGCAUUCGUCUUGCGGGGCACCACUAUAAGCUUCGGGUUGUGAAUGCAGCAAAUCAGGAAGUGUAUGCUUCCAGGUUUUGCCAUGCGCGCAUGCACAGAAGCGCUCAAUCGCACCGUGUGUGUGCCCUGCAUGUGUGCACAGAAGGGCGCCUCCAGUUAUCAAGUUUUUGGGAUGCGGCUGGGCAUCUGGAACGGAUCCCAUUCAUAACCGGAGGUACCACUGUAUAUAACAAUGGGACCAGGUGAGCCUUCCUGGGGAGAGCAUUUCACCAGCAGGGCGCCAAGGAAGAAAAGGCCUGUUCUCAUGUUGCUAACUUCUGGGCCUCACAUGGAGGGGGCACAAGAAGAAGGGCCUCAGAUGAUGAUUGCGGGGUUCAGGUCGAUUCAUAUGGGAAGAGGUGGUUCUUCAAGUAUUGUGGUCCUGAACAACAUAAGGAUUUAUAGGCUGAAACCAGGACUUUUUUAUUUAAAAUGCAUCUCUGGGUUAUUUGUGUGGCCUGUCUGGUGUUUUGACAUGAGUAGAAUGUGUGCUUUUAUUUAAAAUGCAUCUCUGGGUUAUUUGUGGGGCAUAGGAAUUCAUUUCCCCCAUAUAAAAAAAAGUAACAUUUUUGCCUGGUGCCUAAAGAUAUAUAAUGAAGGCGCCAGGCGAACUUCGAACUUCCCUAGGGAGAGCAUACCACAAACGGGGAGCAACUACAGAGAAGGCCCCAUUCUCGUGUUGCCACCCUCCGGACCUCUCAAGGAGAAGGCCCACGAAGGAGGGUCUCAGAUGAUGAUCUCAGGGUCUGGGUAGGUUCACAUGGGAAGAGGCGGUCCUUGAGGUAUUGCGGUCCUGAGCCAUUUAAGGCUCACUAGUUGGACCCAUAGCUGGAUCCAAGGUGGGCAGCAACAGGAAUACUACCAUGCAGAUAUCCGGUGAAUGUAUAAUAAAUGGGUCCCCAAUGCAGGUUUUGGUUAAAGGUGUGUUCUGGGUCUGAAAGGUUGAAGAUACCCAGUCUGCAAUGGCCAACCAUCAUUUCAGAUGGGGGUCUUUCUGAACCCUUACCUGGGACCUUUGACAUGAAAAGCAGGUGUUCUGCCACUAAAGUACAGACCCUCCCCCCCAUCCUAAUUGCAAAUGUAUCCCACUCCCCAGAUCAUUGUCACCCCACCCUUCCCCUUCUCUUAUAAUGGAGCGCAAGUGAUCAUGAAUCAUCAUUUUCCUUUGCUAAGGAGCCGGUUUGAACUUAUUCGCCAGGCGCUGCCGGCGGAGAGCAGGAAAAUGCCGAGGCAAUCGGUGCUUCUACAAUGAAAUCGAGAUCAGCACGUGCUACCACACAAAAAUAAAAUGCUGCCGGGAGAAGGAUUGAGAGGCGCCGGUGCCGAGACUGUUACGGAUGACCUGAGAACGUGGGCGAGAGUGUCCCGAGAGAACCGACGUCUCUGAGUCUGCAUGCUGUUUUUAGGAAAGCGGUUUCUCCCAGCUCAACAAUUCCACUGUGAAACGGAGAGGAAAUCAGGACCGCUGUGCGCAUUUGCGCAUCCUCUGACAUUGUCUUUCUUUCCUCUUCUUCCUUUCAAAGCACUCGCAGCCUUUCCAACCCCUGCUGUCAAACUGUAGCACCAAUCCCUCAUUGCAAAAACAAAU
Non-coding RNA from Podarcis lilfordi (Lilford's wall lizard), 3465 nucleotides. The record is from the annotation of a GenBank genome assembly. NCBI's taxonomy places the organism in Eukaryota, Metazoa, Chordata, Lepidosauria, Squamata, Lacertidae.